This 232-nucleotide ribosomal RNA is filed under the name uncultured bacterium. Its description in RNAcentral is "partial 16S ribosomal RNA". It matches the Rfam family "Bacterial small subunit ribosomal RNA", at positions 109 to 334 of the family's 1533-position model. The record is from RNAcentral.
AGUAAUACUUGGGCAAUCUGCCCUUCAGUGGAAAACAACCGGCCGAAAGGCUGGCUAAUGUUCCAUAAGACCACAGGAUGGCAUCAUCCAGGGGUUAAAGCUCCGCAAGGGGCGCUAGAGGAGGAGCCCGAAUCCUAUCAUGGUAGUUGGUGAGGUAACGGCUCACCAAGCCUUCGACGGGUAGCCGGCCUGAAAGGGUGACCGGCCACACUGGCACUGAGACACGGGCCAG